RNAcentral lists this non-coding RNA (164 nucleotides) under human gut metagenome. Its description in RNAcentral is "Lysine riboswitch". It matches the Rfam family "Lysine riboswitch aptamer". From Rfam's summary of the family: Riboswitches are metabolite binding domains within certain messenger RNAs that serve as precision sensors for their corresponding targets. Allosteric rearrangement of mRNA structure is mediated by ligand binding, and this results in modulation of gene expression. This family includes riboswitches that sense lysine in a number of genes involved in lysine metabolism, including lysC. The record is from RNAcentral.
AAUAGAGGAGCGGGCGAGCAUGAGUAUUUCCGCCGCAUCGGGGAGCGGCAUUCCCGGCGGAAAAAAAGGGCAUCCCCGCCGAGGCACAGCGCCGCCGCCAGCGCUGCCGCCGGGCGCACGGGAGAAUACCCGCGCGACUGUCACCGCAGCGUGGAGCACUAUUU